Molecule: ribosomal RNA, 497 nt
Filed under: uncultured bacterium
Lineage: Bacteria
Description: partial 16S ribosomal RNA
Rfam family: Bacterial small subunit ribosomal RNA
Source: RNAcentral
GACGAACGCUGGCGGCGUGCCUAAUACAUGCAAGUUGAGCGCUGAAGGUUGGUACUUGUACCAACUGGAUGAGCAGCGAACGGGUGAGUAACGCGUGGGGAAUCUGCCUUUGAGCGGGGGACAACAUUUGGAAACGAAUGCUAAUACCGCAUAAAAACUUUAAACACAAGUUUUAAGUUUGAAAGAUGCAAUUGCAUCACUCAAAGAUGAUCCCGCGUUUUAUUAGCUAGUUGGUGAGGUAAAGGCUCACCAAGGCGAUGAUACAUAGCCGACCUGAGAGGGUGAUCGGCCACAUUGGGACUGAGACACGGCCCAAACUCCUACGGGAGGCAGCAGUAGGGAAUCUUCGGCAAUGGACGAAAGUCUGACCGAGCAACGCCGCGUGAGUGAAGAAGGUUUUCGGAUCGUAAAACCCUGUUGGUAGAGAAGAACGUUGGUGAGAGUGGAAAGCUCAUCAAGUGACGGUAACUACCCAGAAAGGGACGGCUAACUACGUG